AGCGAACGCUGGCGGCAGGCUUAACACAUGCAAGUCGAGCGGGCAUCCUUGUGGUGUCAGCGGCAGACGGGUGAGUAACGCGUGGGAACGUGCCCUUUGGUUCGGAAUAACUCAGGGAAACUUGUGCUAAUACUGGAUACGUUCGAGAGUAGAAAGGUUUAUCUGAUGAAGGAUCGGCCCGCGUCUGAUUAGCUAGUUGGUGAGGUUACGCCUCUCCAAGGCUACGAUCAGUAGCUGAUCUGAGAGGAUGAUCAGCCACACUGGGACUGAGACACGGCCCAGACUCCUACGGGAGGCAGCAGUGGGGAAUAUUGGACGCUGGGGGCAACCCUGAUCCAGCCAUGCCGCGUGAGUGAUGACGGCCUUAGGGUUGUAAAGCUCUUUUCUCCGGGACGAUAAUGACGGUACCGGAGGAAUAAGCCCCGACUAACUUCGUG
Molecule: ribosomal RNA, 437 nt
Filed under: uncultured bacterium
Lineage: Bacteria
Description: partial 16S ribosomal RNA
Rfam family: Bacterial small subunit ribosomal RNA
Source: RNAcentral